Molecule: ribosomal RNA, 1430 nt
Filed under: Bacillus pumilus
Lineage: Bacteria; Bacillati; Bacillota; Bacilli; Caryophanales; Bacillaceae
Description: bacterial SSU rRNA
Rfam family: Bacterial small subunit ribosomal RNA
Source: RNAcentral
UACUGCAGUCGAGCGGACAGAAGGGAGCUUGCUCCCGGAUGUUAGCGGCGGACGGGUGAGUAACACGUGGGUAACCUGCCUGUAAGACUGGGAUAACUCCGGGAAACCGGAGCUAAUACCGGAUAGUUCCUUGAACCGCAUGGUUCAAGGAUGAAAGACGGUUUCGGCUGUCACUUACAGAUGGACCCGCGGCGCAUUAGCUAGUUGGUGGGGUAAUGGCUCACCAAGGCGACGAUGCGUAGCCGACCUGAGAGGGUGAUCGGCCACACUGGGACUGAGACACGGCCCAGACUCCUACGGGAGGCAGCAGUAGGGAAUCUUCCGCAAUGGACGAAAGUCUGACGGAGCAACGCCGCGUGAGUGAUGAAGGUUUUCGGAUCGUAAAGCUCUGUUGUUAGGGAAGAACAAGUGCGAGAGUAACUGCUCGCACCUUGACGGUACCUAACCAGAAAGCCACGGCUAACUACGUGCCAGCAGCCGCGGUAAUACGUAGGUGGCAAGCGUUGUCCGGAAUUAUUGGGCGUAAAGGGCUCGCAGGCGGUUUCUUAAGUCUGAUGUGAAAGCCCCCGGCUCAACCGGGGAGGGUCAUUGGAAACUGGGAAACUUGAGUGCAGAAGAGGAGAGUGGAAUUCCACGUGUAGCGGUGAAAUGCGUAGAGAUGUGGAGGAACACCAGUGGCGAAGGCGACUCUCUGGUCUGUAACUGACGCUGAGGAGCGAAAGCGUGGGGAGCGAACAGGAUUAGAUACCCUGGUAGUCCACGCCGUAAACGAUGAGUGCUAAGUGUUAGGGGGUUUCCGCCCCUUAGUGCUGCAGCUAACGCAUUAAGCACUCCGCCUGGGGAGUACGGUCGCAAGACUGAAACUCAAAGGAAUUGACGGGGGCCCGCACAAGCGGUGGAACAUGUGGCAUGUGGUUUAAUUCGAAGCAACGCGAAGAACCUUACCAGGUCUUGACAUCCUCUGACAACCCUAGAGAUAGGGCUUUCCCUUCGGGGACAGAGUGACAGGUGGUGCAUGGUUGUCGUCAGCUCGUGUCGUGAGAUGUUGGGUUAAGUCCCGCAACGAGCGCAACCCUUGAUCUUAGUUGCCAGCAUUUAGUUGGGCACUCUAAGGUGACUGCCGGUGACAAACCGGAGGAAGGUGGGGAUGACGUCAAAUCAUCAUGCCCCUUAUGACCUGGGCUACACACGUGCUACAAUGGACAGAACAAAGGGCUGCGAGACCGCAAGGUUUAGCCAAUCCCAUAAAUCUGUUCUCAGUUCGGAUCGCAGUCUGCAACUCGACUGCGUGAAGCGGAAUCGCUAGUAAUCGCGGAUCAGCAUGCCGCGGUGAAUACGUUCCCGGGCCUUGUACACACCGCCCGUCACACCACGAGAGUUUGCAACACCCGAAGUCGGUGAGGUAACCUUUAUGGAGCCAGCCGCCGAAG